UUCGCAAUGCCCGAAAGGGUGACGAAGCGACGCCGCGUGUGGGAAGAAGGCCUUCGGGUUGUAAACCACUGUCGGGAGUUAAGAAAUGUAAGGGUGUUAAUAGUAUCCUUACUUGACUAAGGCUCCAGAGGAAGCCACGGCUAACUCUGUGCCAGCAGCCGCGGUAAUACAGAGGCGGCAAGCGUUGUUCGGAAUUAUUGGGCGUAAAGAGCACGUAGGCGGCCUUGCAAGUCAGUUGUGAAAGCCUUCUGCUUAACGGAAGAACAGCAGCUGAUACUGCAAGGCUAGAGUGCGGAAGGGGAGAGUGGAACUUCUGGUGGAGCGGUGAAAUGCGUAGAUAUCAGAAGGAACACCGGCGGCGAAGGCGACUCUCUGGUCCGUAACUGACGCUGAGUGUGCGAAAGCUAGGGGAGCAAACGGGAUUAGAUACCCCGGUAGUCCUAGCCGUAAACGAUGGGCACUAAGUAGAGGGGUUUU
Molecule: ribosomal RNA, 477 nt
Filed under: uncultured bacterium
Lineage: Bacteria
Description: bacterial SSU rRNA
Rfam family: Bacterial small subunit ribosomal RNA
Source: RNAcentral